This 253-nucleotide ribosomal RNA is filed under the name uncultured bacterium. Its description in RNAcentral is "partial 16S ribosomal RNA". It matches the Rfam family "Bacterial small subunit ribosomal RNA", at positions 524 to 776 of the family's 1533-position model. The record is from RNAcentral.
GACAGAGGUCCCGAGCGUUAGGCGGAAUCACUGGGCUUAAAGCGUGUGUAGGCGGACGCCUAAGUACCUUGUGAAAUCCCACGGCUCAACCGUGGAACUGCUCGGUAUACUGGGUGUCUUGAGCCACUUAGGGGCUACCGGAACAAAUGGUGGAGCGGUGAAAUGCGUAGAUAUCAUUUGGAACGCCAAUGGUGAAAACAGGUAGCUGGGAGUGUGCUGACGCUGAGACACGAAAGCCAGGGGAGCAAACGGG